Molecule: ribosomal RNA, 500 nt
Filed under: uncultured Glomeromycotina
Lineage: Eukaryota; Fungi; Glomeromycota
Description: partial small subunit ribosomal RNA
Rfam family: Eukaryotic small subunit ribosomal RNA
Source: RNAcentral
CCAAUAGCGUAUAUUAAAGUUGUUGCAGUUAAAAAGCUCGUAGUUGAAUUUCGGGAUCAGUACGCUGGUCAUGCCUUUGGUAUGCACUGGUGUCACUGGUUUCUCCCUUCUGAAGAACCGUGAUGUCAUUAAUUUGGUGUCGCGGGGAAUCAGGACUGUUACUUUGAAAAAAUUAGAGUGUUUAAAGCAGGCUCACGCUUGAAUACAUUAGCAUGGAAUAAUGAAAUAGGACGUUUGACCCUAUUUUGUUGGUUUCUAGGAUCGACGUAAUGAUUAAUAGGGAUAGUUGGGGGCAUUAGUAUUCAAUUGUCAGAGGUGAAAUUCUUGGAUUUAUUGAAGACUAACUACUGCGAAAGCAUUUGACAAGGAUGUUUUCAUUAAUCAAGAACGAAAGUUAGGGGAUCGAAGACGAUCAGAUACCGUCGUAGUCUUAACCAUAAACUAUGCCGACUAGGGAUCGGAUGAUGUUAAUUUUAUAAUGACUCAUUCGGCGCCUUACG